Molecule: non-coding RNA, 685 nt
Organism: Megalopta genalis
Lineage: Eukaryota; Metazoa; Arthropoda; Insecta; Hymenoptera; Halictidae
Source: RefSeq, a predicted model, not a curated record
UGUUAUAUGUAUAAAUGGUAUUAUCUAGAGAUGUGUAGCUGUUGUUUUCUAUUAGGAAUGAAAAAGAAACUUAAUUCAAAUAAAAAUAUUCUCUAGAUCGAGAAAUGCAUUUUCUUAUAAUUUUCUUAUAACUUCUGAACCAUUGGAGGUAGUAAAACCGAGAAGAGAGUACUAGAAGGUUUCAUUAGGAGAAGAAAUUCUUACACAGCGCUAUCAAAUCUAUAGGUGAUGCUGAUCAUACACUGUAGUGCUGGACAGAGAGUUUUAACAUCUAUAAUUGUAUGACUUGCCUUAACAGAGACAUUCUAUAAAGAUCGCAGAAUUCUUGUCCUGGAUGAAUCAACAACAAAUUUGGAUCAAGAAAAUGCAGAUGGUUUGGCAAAUGCAUUAGCCAUAGUUGUCAAAUUGCGAUCACAAUAUUGGAAGAAUUUUCAACUGGUUGUAAUCAGUCAUGAUGAAAAGUGAAAAUUAAGCUGAAUCAAGUGAAAAUAGAGGCUUCUAUUAACUAUUCAGAAAAAUAAGUAUGUAUAUGAUAAUUAUUUAUUAAUACAAAUAUCAUUUUAAACAUAUUGUCAAGUAGAAAGCCAGAAUUUGGAAGCAAAUGAUGUAGUAGUAGAUGAUGAAGUAGUGAACAUUUAGCACAAUUAUGAAAUAAAGCAGAGGGAAAUUUACAUAAAAAAUUAUA